RNAcentral lists this ribosomal RNA (372 nucleotides) under uncultured bacterium. Its description in RNAcentral is "bacterial SSU rRNA". It matches the Rfam family "Bacterial small subunit ribosomal RNA", at positions 524 to 898 of the family's 1533-position model. The record is from RNAcentral.
UACGGAGGAUGCAAGCGUUAUCCGGAUUCAUUGGGUUUAAAGGGUGCGUAGGUGGGUCCAUAAGUCAGUGGUGAAAUCCGGCAGCUCAACUGUCGCACUGCCUCUGAUACUGUGGGUCUUGAGUUAAGUUGAAGCAGGCGGAAUAUGACAUGUAGCGGUGAAAUGCAUAGAUAUGUCAUAGAACACCGAUAGCGAAGGCAGCCUGCUAAACUUACACUGACACUGAUGCACGAAAGCGUGGGUAGCGAACAGGAUUAGAUACCCUGGUAGUCCACGCCGUAAACGAUGAUCACUCGCUGCAUGCGAUAUACGGUAUGUGGCCAAGCGAAAGCGUUAAGUGAUCCACCUGGGGAAUACGAUCGCAAGGUUGAA